AACCUAAUAAAAAUACCCCUUCAUAUAUCCUCGGCAAUACGGGCUGAGAGUCUCUACCGGAACACCACAAAUGUUCUGACUAUGAAGGCAGAACGUCAUUUG
RNAcentral lists this non-coding RNA (102 nucleotides) under Pontibacillus litoralis. RNAcentral's name for it is "Guanine sequence". It matches the Rfam family "Purine riboswitch aptamer". From Rfam's summary of the family: Riboswitches are metabolite binding domains within certain messenger RNAs that serve as precision sensors for their corresponding targets. Allosteric rearrangement of mRNA structure is mediated by ligand binding, and this results in modulation of gene expression. The record is from RNAcentral. Lineage: Bacteria; Bacillati; Bacillota; Bacilli; Caryophanales; Bacillaceae. RNAcentral also lists the same sequence under 1 other name.